CAGCAGCCGCGGUAAUACGAAGGGGGCUAGCGUUGUUCGGAUUUACUGGGCGUAAAGGGCGCGUAGGCGGACUGAUAAGUCAGGGGUGAAAUCCCAAGGCUCAACCUUGGAACUGCCUUUGAUACUGUUUGUCUUGAGUUCGAGAGAGGUAAGUGGAGCUGCGAGUGUAGAGGUGAAAUUCGUAGAUAUUCGCAAGAACACCAGUGGCGAAGGCGGCUUACUGGCUCGAAACUGACGCUGAGGCGCGAAAGCGUGGGGAGCAAACAGGAUUAGAUACCCCGGUAGUCCCUGUCUCUUAUAU
RNAcentral lists this ribosomal RNA (301 nucleotides) under uncultured bacterium. RNAcentral's name for it is "partial 16S ribosomal RNA". It matches the Rfam family "Bacterial small subunit ribosomal RNA", at positions 509 to 809 of the family's 1533-position model. The record is from RNAcentral.